UGAGGGGAAUCUUUCCGCAAUGGGACGAAAGUCUGACGGAGCAACGCCGCGUGAGUGAUGAAGGUUUUCGGAUCGUAAAGCUCUGUUGUUAGGGAAGAACAAGUGCGAGAGUAACUGCUCGCACCUUGACGGUACCUAACCAGAAAGCCACGGCUAACUACGUGCCAGCAGCCGCGGUAAUACGUAGGUGGCAAGCGUUGUCCGGAAUUAUUGGGCGUAAAGGGCUCGCAGGCGGUUUCUUAAGUCUGAUGUGAAAGCCCCCGGCUCAACCGGGGAGGGUCAUUGGAAACUGGGAAACUUGAGUGCAGAAGAGGAGAGUGGAAUUCCACGUGUAGCGGUGAAAUGCGUAGAGAUGUGGAGGAACACCAGUGGCGAAGGCGACUCUCUGGUCUGUAACUGA
This 400-nucleotide ribosomal RNA is filed under the name Bacillus pumilus. RNAcentral's name for it is "bacterial SSU rRNA". It matches the Rfam family "Bacterial small subunit ribosomal RNA", at positions 353 to 743 of the family's 1533-position model. Lineage: Bacteria; Bacillati; Bacillota; Bacilli; Caryophanales; Bacillaceae. The record is from RNAcentral.